GUUUGGAUGUUGUGCAAAUGCGUCCAAAGACAAUAAAAGGAGAACUUCAGUUCUUUCUCGGUUGAAUGGACGUGCUUUUACUUUAUGGGUAGAAUUCAUUGAUUGAUUACAAUGUCAUUUCAUGGUCUCCCUGCUAAGAAAAUCAAAUUUAAUGUUUAGUUUUGGUGAAUUCUCAAUUUUUAUAUUUGACACUGUGGAAAGAUGAUCUUAAGCAUAUAAUUUCAUUACUUCAACUACAUUAUUAUCAUCAAGCAUCUCUCAAGGCUAGAUCAUUGUUGUAAUUUCAUUUUUUUUGUUUUUAUUUUUUUCAUGUGGGAUGAAUCAGCAACGCAACUUCCUUGUGAC
This 345-nucleotide unclassified non-coding RNA is filed under the name Hevea brasiliensis (rubber tree). The record is from RNAcentral. Lineage: Eukaryota; Viridiplantae; Streptophyta; Magnoliopsida; Malpighiales; Euphorbiaceae.